GCCUUCAUGGUCUAAUGGUUAUGAUAAGUCACUAGUAAUGACUGGGUUCCCUGUUCGAUUCAGGGUGGAGGCA
Molecule: transfer RNA, 73 nt
Filed under: Tremella mesenterica
Lineage: Eukaryota; Fungi; Basidiomycota; Tremellomycetes; Tremellales; Tremellaceae
Also listed under: 1 other name
Description: tRNA-Thr
Rfam family: tRNA
About the family: Transfer RNA (tRNA) molecules are approximately 80 nucleotides in length. Their secondary structure includes four short double-helical elements and three loops (D, anti-codon, and T loops).
Source: RNAcentral